ACUACGAAGAGUUUGAUCCUGGCUCAGGAUGAACGCUAGCGGCAGGCCUAAUACAUGCAAGUCGAGGGAGAAGUUUGGUGCUUGCACCGAACAGAAACCGGCGCACGGGUGCGUAACACGUAUGCAACCUACCUGUAACUGGGGAAUAGCCCGAAGAAAUUCGGAUUAAUACCCCAUAAUAUACCGAUGAGGCAUCUCAAUGGUAUUAAAGCUCCGGCGGUUACAGAUGGGCAUGCGGUCCAUUAGCUAGUUGGUGAGGUAACGGCUCACCAAGGCAACGAUGGAUAGGGGGUCUGAGAGGAUGAUCCCCCACACUGGUACUGAGACACGGACCAGACUCCUACGGGAGGCAGCAGUAGGGAAUAUUGGACAAUGGGCGAAAGCCUGAUCCAGCCAUGCCGCGUGCAGGAUGA
Molecule: ribosomal RNA, 413 nt
Filed under: Bacteroidota bacterium
Lineage: Bacteria; Pseudomonadati; Bacteroidota
Description: bacterial SSU rRNA
Rfam family: Bacterial small subunit ribosomal RNA
Source: RNAcentral